This 1063-nucleotide long non-coding RNA is filed under the name Salmo salar (Atlantic salmon). RNAcentral describes it as "lncRNA (ENSSSAG00000097811.1, ENSSSAG00075053713.1)". The record is from RNAcentral. Lineage: Eukaryota; Metazoa; Chordata; Actinopteri; Salmoniformes; Salmonidae.
GACAGAUUUUGUUUUUGAAAUGUUUUGCUAGCCCCACCUCAUUUAGCUAGACUGAAGUUGACAUAGCUAAAUGCCGCUGUAUUUUCUGUGUGUGUGAUGACAUCUUCAUCCCUGAAAAGGUUUUCAUCCUGGAGGAGACUGUGCAGGAGGCAAAGGAGGAAAGAAUGGUUAGUACAGCAUGCCAAACUGACCCCUGGGUGCCAGACUGUUCCUGUGCUGCGGUGGAGAAGAGGUCCACUGGGACCAUCACUAAAGCGCUCUGGGCCCAGCUAGAUUGAGCCCACGACCAUCAGUAUACAACCGAGUCCGGCCCCUAAACGCCACAGAUGGAGCUGACGGAGAGUGAGAUCAGUGAAGACCAGAACUCACUGUAUGAACCUGCGGGCUCAGAAUCACAAUCAUCACAGUAUGAGCCAAAAUAUACUACCAAUCACUUUGUGGGAGCGGGCUGGUGUUCCGAAAAUGGAAAAGGAACAAGCCAUGGACAGCGAAUUCAAAGAAACAACCAUCCAUAAAGGGAAUCGGAGUGGAAUUGUGUUUCCAAAGAUUUUUUACCCGUUUCAACAGAUGUGCUACCUUGUCCCGGUCCUGCUGUUUCGACUCUCUCUCUCAACCUAUGAAUGCUCAGCGAUGAAAAGCCAACUGACAUUUGCUCCUGAGGUGUUGUUAUAAUUUUGAUGUAAAAACGGCUUUUGUGAAACACAUUUGAUAGAUUGUUUGUUGUGCUGGAUGCUGUGUAUUCACUAACUGUCCUAGUGAUGGGACAUUUAUGUCUGUAACAUAUUUUGGUGUGUAUUUAAUCUGCAUCUUAACUUCUUAAAGUGGCAAUCAGCAGUAGAAACAAUAACAAAGUGUCUCCCUGCUCCUCUUUCGAUAAAAAGCUGAGGGAUGGGGCUGGAGAAAUCUAACCACUCUCAAAUUCAUAGACGGGCCUAUAGAUGCAAGGACUGACCAUCCAUGAUAUCAAAAUUGUAGUCCUGUUUCUAUGACCUGUUUCCAUUACCAUGUACCCAGUUCGCUUUGGAUAAAGGCGUCUGCUAAAUGGCAUCUAUUAUUAAAGUCU